Molecule: ribosomal RNA, 648 nt
Filed under: Triticum aestivum (bread wheat)
Lineage: Eukaryota; Viridiplantae; Streptophyta; Magnoliopsida; Poales; Poaceae
Description: partial small subunit ribosomal RNA
Source: RNAcentral
AUGGCGCCCACGGCGGCCGGAGCCCGACUGCCCCUGUCGCUGACCGUCUUCAUGGCGGUCGCGACGACCAUGCUGCUGGCGCCCGCGGAGGCUGGCCUGUACGGCGACCGUGACGCGCUCAUGGCCCUGCGGAGAGGCCUACAGGACCCUGACGGCGCGCUGCGUUCCUGGAGCCCGGAGCUGGGGAACAUGAACCCCUGCAUCAACUGGUCCCACGUCACCUGCGACCGCGUGGCCAACCGCGUCACCGAGAUAGUAAUCGGGUUUGUGAACCUGUCCGGACCUCUGUCGCCGGAGCUGGGCAAGCUGGGCCAGCUAACCAAACUGUGGAUUUCGUACACCAAUAUCCAAGGAACAAUCCCUGAAGAGCUGGGCAACUUGGAGAACCUGAACUCCAUGCACCUGCACAACAACAGCCUCUCGGGGCAGAUACCCGCAUCGCUCGGGAAACUCAAGUCUCUGAAACAGCUGCACCUUCAACAGAACCGCUUGACCGGCCCGAUCCCCAGCGAGCUGGAUGGGCUGUCCGACCAGACGAGUGUGAAUCUCUCAAGCAACGAUCUGUGCGGCCCGAUUCCGACAGAUGGUCCCUUCAAGAACAUGAAUUCCAGCCUCGCCGACAACCCGCGGCUGGGCGGCAACUGCUAG